Molecule: ribosomal RNA, 245 nt
Filed under: uncultured bacterium
Lineage: Bacteria
Description: partial 16S ribosomal RNA
Rfam family: Bacterial small subunit ribosomal RNA
Source: RNAcentral
UAGGGGGCAAGCGUUAUCCGGAUUUACUGGGUGUAAAGGGAGCGUAGACGGCGGAACAAGUCAGAAGUGAAAACCCGGGGCUCAACCCUGGGAGUGCUUUUGAAACUGUUUGGCUGGAGUGCAGGAGAGGUAAGCGGAAUUCCUAGUGUAGCGGUGAAAUGCGUAGAUAUUAGGAGGAACACCAGUGGCGAAGGCGGCUUACUGGACUGUAACUGACGUUGAGGCUCGAAAGCGUGGGGAGCAAA